Molecule: long non-coding RNA, 2028 nt
Organism: Bombyx mori (domestic silkworm)
Lineage: Eukaryota; Metazoa; Arthropoda; Insecta; Lepidoptera; Bombycidae
Exons: 2
Source: RefSeq, a predicted model, not a curated record
UCCCAUUGUCUCAAUUGUGGCAAUAGUGGUUUAAACAGUGCUCAACGAUGAUAAUCUCGUACCAAUAUAUGCGUCAACUACGAGAACAGCCGUGCGAUUCUGUAAGCGUUGUUUAACAAACUCGCACGUGAAUUUGGUGUGAGUUUUCAAAUUGGCAUUCUGUAAAUUUCAUUGUAGUGCCGAAUCUACACUAGCGCCCCUCGCGGGUGAAUUGAACUAGCAAGCGUGAGUUUUUUUUACUAAAAUGUAUGAGUUGACGUUUGAAACGGCAUUCUGUAGUGUAAAUCACGUCGAAUUUCGGCAAGAACUUCGCAUCGCAAAAUCAUUUUAUUUGUCAAAUCAAAAGUUAGUGUUUUAAGUGUUUGUUGUGAGUGAGAAUAUACGAAAACGUUAUAAACCGCUGUUAAUUAUUAAAAGAAUACUAUUAAUUAACAAAAUUGCACUUUAAAAUAACUUUAUUCUUCAUCGAUAUUUUAUGGAGCGUAUGUUUUUAUUGAAAACAUUGUUGAAAAGGCUGACGCUACGGAUCAGCGUGAAAUGCGUCGACAAGCCUACGAAAUUCACAAUUUAUCACUUUUAACUUGGGAUGACGACUAUGUAAAAGUAUAAAGAAAGUGUAUAGAUUGUCGAAGGAUCAUAUGAACCAGUUAGGGUGUGAAUUACACCCUUUGACGAAGACCACUAAAAGCCAUUGAAAAGGACUUUCAACUCUUCUAAAGUUUCAGUUACUGUGCACCUUGUUUAUUUGGGCAAAUGAAGUUACUAAAAAAAUCAUAAAAGAAAAUAUAAGAACAUAUUUGUCCCAGAUAUCCCAGUGUAUAUCUGAGGUUGUGGAGGCUCUGAACAACCCAGCAACUAUAUAUAAAUAUUUAAGAUUCCCGCAGAAUGCUCAAGAAUGGCAAAAGUUGAAGGAAAACUGAAGAAAAAAGAAGAAGGUGGUUUAAACUAAAUAAAUAUUUUUUUUCUUCAUAAAAAAGUACCAAUAUUAAUCUAAUGCAAAAUAUUGCAGUUUUUGUAAAAAAAUUAAAAUCACUUUGGUUGUUGGGUGUAUUGAUGGGACGUUGGUGGCCUUAAAAAGACCUGCUACCAAUAAAAAAUGGUUUUACUGCCACAAAGGCUAUCAUGCCAGAAAAUGUACAAUUUGUAAAGCCAUUAAUAUUUUUCGAAAUUCUGAUGAUAUGUAAUCCAUAAACGAAAUGUGUAUUAUGAACUAUGUAUUCAGAUUGUAUUCAUUUCAGUUAAAUUGAAUUGUGUAUAUUGCUUUAAAGUUAUUGUGAAAUUUAGUAUUUAUAUUAAAUAAACUUUAUUCAGUUAUAAAAAAAACAAAAUAAAAUCUACUAAAGAUUAGUCAAUGACAGCAAGUAAUGACCAUUAUAAUUAUUUAACAUCUUUUCGGUCUUUCUGUAUAUGCUCAACGUUCCAACCUUAUGACACCUUUUGCUAAAUUUUUUUUCAUUUCACCAUCUAAAUUGUUAGGCUCGAGCUCACAGCUCACCUGGUGUUAAGUGGUUACUGGAGCCCAUAGACAUCUACAACGUAAAUGCGCCACCAACCUUGAGAUAUAAAUUCGAAGGUCUCAGUAUAGUUACAACGGCUGCGCCACCCUUCAAAGCGAAACACAUUACUGCUUCAGAAAUAGGCGAUAAUGCUAUGCUAGCUAAUACCUGCUAAUAAUGGCUAGCUAAUGCUAAUACGGAGAGAGAUACUCCUGAAGCUUUGUAGCACCACCUUCAUUCCACUGCCCGUAACUCAGUGAAAAGAACAAUAGUUCUGUUAAAGAGUAGAUUCAGGUGUUUGCUGAUCCAUAGGGUGCCAAUUUAUCACCCUGAUAAGGUAGCAAAAAUAGCUGUUGCGUGUUGUGUUUUGCACAACAUUUGCAAUUGUGCAGAGCUGCCAGUUCCCAUAAUCUCAGAUUAUGAGAUUACAUUUACAUUAUGGUGGUCAUGUUGAAUUACUUUGUUAAAUUCUACUAAUUAGCUUACUUAUAGUGUGAAGUAACUUCAAAUAUAAAUUAAUGAUUUAUAAAAA